AAUUUGGGACAAUGGGGGAAACUCUGAUAUCGCCAUCCCGCGUGUAUGAUGAAGGACUUCGGGUUGUAAAGAACUUUUGGCAGAGAAGAAAAGGUACAUACUAAUACGAAAGACUGCUGACGGUAUCUGCAGAAUAAGCACCGGAUAACUACGUUCCAGCAGCCGCGGUAAGACGUAGGGGGCAAGAGUUAAUCGGAUUUAUUGGGCGUAAAGCGUGUGUAGGCGCUUCGCAAAGAAAGAAAUGUAAUCCCAGGACUCCACCUUGAAACUACAUUUUGAACUUCCGAGCUGGAGUAUAUAAGAAUGGGGUAGAAGACCACAUGUAGCAGUGAAAUGCGUAGAUAUGUGGAGGAAUACCGAUGGCGAAGGCAGCCCCCUUGGAUAAUACUGACGCUCAGACACGAAAGCGUGGGGAGCAAACAGA
This 424-nucleotide ribosomal RNA is filed under the name uncultured bacterium. RNAcentral describes it as "partial 16S ribosomal RNA". It matches the Rfam family "Bacterial small subunit ribosomal RNA", at positions 360 to 776 of the family's 1533-position model. The record is from RNAcentral.